RNAcentral lists this small nuclear RNA (191 nucleotides) under Petromyzon marinus (sea lamprey). Its description in RNAcentral is "U2 spliceosomal RNA (ENSPMAG00000011242.1)". It matches the Rfam family "U2 spliceosomal RNA". From Rfam's summary of the family: U2 is a small nuclear RNA (snRNA) component of the spliceosome (involved in pre-mRNA splicing). Complementary binding between U2 snRNA (in an area lying towards the 5' end but 3' to hairpin I) and the branchpoint sequence (BPS) of the intron results the bulging out of an unpaired adenosine, on the BPS, which initiates a nucleophilic attack at the intronic 5' splice site, thus starting the first of two transesterification reactions that mediate splicing. The record is from RNAcentral. Lineage: Eukaryota; Metazoa; Chordata; Hyperoartia; Petromyzontiformes; Petromyzontidae.
AUCGCUUCUCGGCCUUUUGGCUAAGAUCAAGUGUCGUAUCUGUUCUUAACAGUUUAAUAUCUGAUACGUACCACAUUGUGGUACCUUAUAUUAAAUUGAUUUUUGGGACAGGGAGAUGGAAUAGGGGCUUUCUCCGUCCACUCCGCGCAUCAACCUGGUAUUGCAUUUUCGCCGGGAAUGGUGCACCUCCC